UACAGAGGUCCCAAGCGUUGUUCGGAAUUACUGGGCGUAAAGGGCUCGUAGGUGGCCAACUAAGUCAGACGUGAAAUCCCUCAGCUUAACUGGGGAACUGCGUCUGAUACUGGAUGGCUUGAGUUUGGGAGAGGGAUGCGGAAUUCCAGGUGUAGCGGUGAAAUGCGUAGAUAUCUGGAGGAACACCGGUGGCGAAGGCGGCAUCCUGGACCAACACUGACACUGAGGAGCGAAAGCCAGGGGAGCAAACGGG
RNAcentral lists this ribosomal RNA (253 nucleotides) under uncultured bacterium. RNAcentral's name for it is "partial 16S ribosomal RNA". It matches the Rfam family "Bacterial small subunit ribosomal RNA", at positions 524 to 776 of the family's 1533-position model. The record is from RNAcentral.